GGCGCAAGCCUGAUGGAGCAACACCGCGUGAGUGAAGAAGGGUUUCGGCUCGUAAAGCUCUGUUGUUAAAGAAGAACACGUAUGAGAGUAACUGUUCAUACGUUGACGGUAUUUAACCAGAAAGUCACGGCUAACUACGUGCCAGCAGCCGCGGUAAUACGUAGGUGGCAAGCGUUAUCCGGAUUUAUUGGGCGUAAAGAGAGUGCAGGCGGUUUUCUAAGUCUGAUGUGAAAGCCUUCGGCUUAACCGGAGAAGUGCAUCGGAAACUGGAUAACUUGAGUGCAGAAGAGGGUAGUGGAACUCCAUGUGUAGCGGUGGAAUGCGUAGAUAUAUGGAAGAACACCAGUGGCGAAGGCGGCUACCUGGUCUGCAACUGACGCUGAGACUCGAAAGCAUGGGUAGCGAACAGGAUUAGAUACCCUGGUAGUCCAUGCCGUAAACGAUGAGUGCUAGGUGUUGGAGGGUUUCCGCCCUUCAGUGCCGGAGCUAACGCAUUAAGCACUCCGCCUGGGGAGUACGACCGCAAGGUUGAAACUCAAAGGAAUUGACGGGGGCCCGCACAAGCGGUGGAGCAUGUGGUUUAAUUCGAAGCUACGCGAAGAACCUUACCAGGUCUUGACAUCUUGCGCCAACCCUAGAGAUAGGGCGUUUCCUUCGGGAACGCAAUGACAGGUGGUGCAUGGUCGUCGUCAGCUCGUGUCGUGAGAUGUUGGGGUUAAGUCC
RNAcentral lists this ribosomal RNA (723 nucleotides) under Limosilactobacillus fermentum. RNAcentral's name for it is "bacterial SSU rRNA". It matches the Rfam family "Bacterial small subunit ribosomal RNA", at positions 374 to 1087 of the family's 1533-position model. The record is from RNAcentral. Lineage: Bacteria; Bacillati; Bacillota; Bacilli; Lactobacillales; Lactobacillaceae.